Molecule: transfer RNA, 78 nt
Filed under: Thermoplasmata archaeon
Lineage: Archaea; Methanobacteriati; Thermoplasmatota; Thermoplasmata
Also listed under: 2 other names
Description: tRNA-Arg
Rfam family: tRNA
About the family: Transfer RNA (tRNA) molecules are approximately 80 nucleotides in length. Their secondary structure includes four short double-helical elements and three loops (D, anti-codon, and T loops).
Source: RNAcentral
GGGCCCGUAGCCUAGCCAGGAUAAGGCGUCGGCCUUCGGAGCCGAAGAUCCGGGGUUCAAAUCCCCGCGGGCCCGCCA